This 195-nucleotide ribosomal RNA is filed under the name uncultured bacterium. Its description in RNAcentral is "partial 16S ribosomal RNA". It matches the Rfam family "Bacterial small subunit ribosomal RNA", at positions 338 to 525 of the family's 1533-position model. The record is from RNAcentral.
UCUACGGGAGGCAGCAGUAGGGAAUCUUCCACAAUGGACGAAAGUCUGAUGGAGCAAUGCCGCGUGAGUGAAGAAGGUUUUCGGAUCGUAAAACUCUGCUGUUGAAGAAGAACAUAUGUGAGAGUAACUGUUCACGUACUGACGGUAUUCAACCAGAAAGCCACGGCUAACUACGUGCCAGCAGCCGCGGUAAUA